This 492-nucleotide ribosomal RNA is filed under the name uncultured bacterium. Its description in RNAcentral is "partial 16S ribosomal RNA". It matches the Rfam family "Bacterial small subunit ribosomal RNA", at positions 29 to 507 of the family's 1533-position model. The record is from RNAcentral.
AGUGAACGCUGGCGGUAGGCCUAACACAUGCAAGUCGAACGGCAGCACAGUAAGAGCUUGCUCUUACGGGUGGCGAGUGGCGGACGGGUGAGGAAUACAUCGGAAUCUACUUUUUCGUGGGGGCUAACGUAGGGAAACUUACGCUAAUACCGCAUACGACCUACGGGUGAAAGCAGGGGAUCUUCGGACCUUGCGCGAUUGAAUGAGCCGAUGUCGGAUUAGCUAGUUGGCGGGGUAAAGGCCCACCAAGGCGACGAUCCGUAGCUGGUCUGAGAGGAUGAUCAGCCACACGGGAACUGAGACACGGUCCCGACUCCUACGGGAGGCAGCAGCGGGGAAUAUUGGACAAUGGGCGCAAGCCUGAUCCAGCCAUACCGCGUGGGUGAAGAAGGCCUUCGGGUUGUAAAGCCCUUUUGUUGGGAAAGAAAAGCAGCAGGUUAAUACCCCGCUGUUCUGACGGUACCCAAAGAAUAAGCACCGGCUAACUUCGUG